Molecule: ribosomal RNA, 484 nt
Filed under: uncultured bacterium
Lineage: Bacteria
Description: partial 16S ribosomal RNA
Rfam family: Bacterial small subunit ribosomal RNA
Source: RNAcentral
AUUGAACGCUGGCGGCAGGCCUAACACAUGCAAGUCGAGCGGAUGAAGGGAGCUUGCUCCUGGAUUCAGCGGCGGACGGGUGAGUAAUGCCUAGGAAUCUGCCUGGUAGUGGGGGAUAACGUCCGGAAACGGGCGCUAAUACCGCAUACGUCCUGAGGGAGAAAGUGGGGGAUCUUCGGACCUCACGCUAUCAGAUGAGCCUAGGUCGGAUUAGCUAGUUGGUGGGGUAAAGGCCUACCAAGGCGACGAUCCGUAACUGGUCUUAGAGGAUGAUCAGUCACACUGGAACUGAGACACGGUCCAGACUCCUACGGGAGGCAGCAGUGGGGAAUAUUGGACAAUGGGCGAAAGCCUGAUCCAGCCAUGCCGCGUGUGUGAAGAAGGUCUUCGGAUUUUAAAGCACUUUAAGUUGGGAGGAAGGGCAGUAAGUUAAUACCUUGCUGUUUUGACGUUACCAACAGAAUAAGCACCGGCUAACUUCGUG